Molecule: ribosomal RNA, 1241 nt
Filed under: metagenome
Description: bacterial LSU rRNA
Rfam family: Bacterial large subunit ribosomal RNA
Source: RNAcentral
UGAAUACGAGACGCUAAGGCGUCGAAGUAGUGUAUGUCAUACUUCCAAGAAAAGCUUGCACUGUCAUAGAUAAAAAACGCCUGUACCAUAACCGACACAGGUGGGUAGGUAGAGUAUACUAAGGGGCGCGAGAUAACUCUCUCUAAGGAACUCGGCAAAAUAACUCCGUAACCUCGGGAGAAGGUGUGCCUUAUUAUUAAGGCUGCAAUAACAAGAUCCAAGCAACUGUUUAUCAAAAACACAGGUCUCCGCUAAGUCGUAAGACGAUGUAUGGGGGCUGACGCCUGCCCAGUGCCAGAAGGUUAAAGAAGUUGGUUAGCAUUUGCGAAGCUGAUAACUGAAGCCCUGGUGAACGGCGGCCGUAACAAUAACGGUCCUAAGGUAGCGAAAUUCCUUGUCGGGUAAGUUCCGACCCGCACGAAAGGCGUAAUGAUUUGGAUACUGUCUCGGAGAGGGGCUCGGUGAAAUAGACUUGUCUGUGAAGAUGCGGACUACCUGCACCAGGACAGAAAGACCCUAUGAAGCUUUACUGUAACUUGAAAUUGAAAUUGGACUUUAUUCGCGCAGCAUAGGUGGGAGGCGUUGAUUAUAAUCUUGUGGGAUUAUUGGAGCCAUCAGUGAGAUACCACUCUUGUAAUGUUAGAUUUCUAACUUUGAAUCAUUAUCUGGUCGAAGAACAGUUUCAGGCGGGCAGUUUGACUGGGGCGGUCGCCUCCUAAACGGUAACGGAGGCGUACAAAGGUUUCCUCUGAACGGUUAGAAAUCGUAUCUAGAGUGUAAAGGCAUAAGGAAGCUUGGCUGUGAGACCUACAAGUCAAGCAGGGACGAAAGUCGGUCUUAGUGAUCUGACGGUACUGAGUGGAAAGGCCGUCACUCAACGGAUAAAAGUUACUCUAGGAUAACAGGCUGAUCUCCCCCAAGAGUUCACAUCGACGGGGAGGUUCGGCACCUCGAUGUCGGCUCAUCGCAUCCUGGGGCGGUAGUACGUCCCAAGGGUUGGGCUGUUCGCCCAUGAAAGCGGUACGCGAGCUGGGUUCAGAACGUCGUGAGACAGUUCGGUCCAUAUCCGGUGUAGGCGUUAGAAUAUUGAGAGGAGCCUUCUUUAGUACGAGAGGACCGAGAAGGACAUACCUCUGGUGUACCAGUUAUCGUGCCAACGGUAAACGCUGGGUAGCUAUGUAUGGAGUGGAUAACCGCUGAAAGCAUCUAAGUGGGAAGCCCACCUCAAGAUAAGUAUUCCC